UAUUUAUAUAAUAUAAUAAGUAUAUAUGACUUCCAAUCAUAAAGUCUAUAAAAUAUAGUAUAAAUAA
Molecule: transfer RNA, 67 nt
Filed under: Meromyza saltatrix
Lineage: Eukaryota; Metazoa; Arthropoda; Insecta; Diptera; Chloropidae
Also listed under: 3 other names
Description: tRNA-Gly
Source: RNAcentral